CGCAUCUGUGCAUGCAGCAUAUCAAUAAGCGGAGGAAAAGAAACUAACAAGGAUUCCCCUAGUAACGGCGAGUGAAGCGGGAAGAGCUCAAAUUUGAAAUCUUAAAGGGUUUCCCUUUACGAAUUGUAGUUUAAAGAAGUGUUUUCUGUUGAGGUUUUGGUAAAAGUUCUUUGGAAUAGGACAUCAUAGAGGGUGAGAAUCCCGUAUUUGACCUUUACUUUCAACUUUGUGAUACACUUUCAAAGAGUCGGAUUGUUUGGGAAUGCAGUCCAAAAUGGGUGGUAAAUUUCAUCUAAAGCUAAAUAUUGGCGAGAGACCGAUAGCGAACAAGUACCGUGAGGGAAAGAUGAAAAGAACUUUGAAAAGAGAGUUAAACAGUACGUGAAAUUGUCAAAAGGGAAGCGUUUGACACCAGUGUUGUUUUUCUGAAAAUCAAUUAAAGAACUGUUUAUGCUAAGUUGUUUAGACUUUAUCAGCUAACUGUUUAGUUUUGAGCUUUUCUUUAAUGCACUUUCCAGUUAACAAGUCAACAUCAAUUUCUUUUGCUGUAAAAAAGCUUGAGGAAGGUGGCUUGAGAUUCGUCUUAAGUGUUUAUAGCCUCUUGCCUAUGCAGUCGGAGAGAUUGAGGUCUGCAGCGUAGAUCCUUCGGGGCUAAAUGCAUUUGCUGCUAAGUUAUAGCAUUUUAUAGACAACUUGUUGACUAUGAUUUGUCUUGUAGCUUACUCGCUUAUGUUAUUUUACCUACGCUUAGGAUGUUGAACGCGCACAGAGUCUC
Molecule: ribosomal RNA, 775 nt
Filed under: uncultured Neocallimastigales
Lineage: Eukaryota; Fungi; Neocallimastigomycota; Neocallimastigomycetes; Neocallimastigales
Description: partial large subunit ribosomal RNA
Rfam family: Eukaryotic large subunit ribosomal RNA
Source: RNAcentral